UGACCGCUGGCGGCGUGCCUACUACAUGCAAGUCGAGCGAACGGACGCGAAGCUUGCUUCUCUGAUGUUAGCGGCGGACGGGUGAGUAACACGUGGAUAACCUACCUAUAAGACUGGGAUAACUUCGGGAAACCGGAGCUAAUACCGGAUGAUAUUUUGAACCGCAUGGUUCAAAAGUGAAAGACGGUCUUGCUGUCACUUAUAGAUGGAUCCGCGCUGCAUUAGCUAGUUGGUAAGGUAACGGCUUACCAAGGCAACGAUGCAUAGCCGACCUGAGAGGGUGAUCGGCCACACUGGAACUGAGACACGGUCCAGACUCCUACGGGAGGCAGCAGUAGGGAAUCUUCCGCAAUGGGCGAAAGCCUGACGGAGCAACGCCGCGUGAGUGAUGAAGGUCUUCGGAUCGUAAAACUCUGUUAUUAGGGAAGAACAUAUGUGUAAGUAACUGUGCACAUCUUGACGGUACCUAAUCAGAAAGCCACGGCUAACUACGUG
Molecule: ribosomal RNA, 495 nt
Filed under: uncultured bacterium
Lineage: Bacteria
Description: partial 16S ribosomal RNA
Rfam family: Bacterial small subunit ribosomal RNA
Source: RNAcentral